GACGAACGCUGGCGGCGUGCUUAACACAUGCAAGUCGAACGGAAAGGCCCUGCUUUUGUGGGGUGCUCGAGUGGCGAACGGGUGAGUAACACGUGAGUAACCUGCCCUUGACUUUGGGAUAACUUCAGGAAACUGGGGCUAAUACCGGAUAGGAGCUCCUGCUGCAUGGUGGGGGUUGGAAAGUUUCGGCGGUUGGGGAUGGACUCGCGGCUUAUCAGCUUGUUGGUGGGGUAGUGGCUUACCAAGGCUUUGACGGGUAGCCGGCCUGAGAGGGUGACCGGCCACAUUGGGACUGCGAUACGGCCCAGACUCCUACGGGAGGCAGCAGUGGGGAAUAUUGCACAAUGGGCGGAAGCCUGAUGCAGCAACGCCGCGUGCGGGAUGACGGCCUUCGGGUUGUAAACCGCCUUCGCCUGUGACAAAGCGUGAGUGACGGUAAUGGGUAAAGAAGCACCGGCUAACUACGUG
Molecule: ribosomal RNA, 468 nt
Filed under: uncultured bacterium
Lineage: Bacteria
Description: partial 16S ribosomal RNA
Rfam family: Bacterial small subunit ribosomal RNA
Source: RNAcentral